RNAcentral lists this long non-coding RNA (575 nucleotides) under Mus caroli (Ryukyu mouse). Its description in RNAcentral is "lncRNA (MGP_CAROLIEiJ_G0002556.1)". The record is from RNAcentral. Lineage: Eukaryota; Metazoa; Chordata; Mammalia; Rodentia; Muridae.
UGCGGGAACGGCGCUUCCGCGCGUGGGCAACCCGGAGCAGAGCCCCCUGGCAGCAACCACCCGAGACCUUUACUGUAGGGUCAGGGCGCCAGAGAGCUAAGGACCAAAAGUCCUGGCCUGUACCAAAGAGCCUGCGAAGUGCCAGUUAAGGUGUGACAUGGUCGCUCUUGUGCCUACUGAAUACCCAUAAUACAGAGGACCACCGACUGCGUCCCAGAGGUCGCACCUGAGGGGGUCCCUACCACACCCAUUAUGUCUGUCCAGGUCAAUUCUCCCAUGGGACAGAGGCACACUGGCAAACAUGGACAUCGGAUCUCCCACGGGACAGUGGUACACUGGCAAACAUGGACAUCAGAGCAGGCGUGUAGGGGUCCUGGCCAGUUGCAUCAGCUUACUGGACUGCUGUAACUACUAAAUUAAUGUGUUUGAGAUCAGAGUUUGGAAAAUAUAAACAAACAUAAGCAACUCUUGGGCAGCAGAGCCAGACACGGCUGGCUACAGCUCUGAAGCCUCGUGGUUUUAGAACACAAGAUUAAUUUAAUUUGUACGACUGCAGCUCCUCAUCUCUCUGCCUU